GUAUUAAAGCAGAAUUCUUCAUUAGAUAAAAUUUGUUCGAAACUUCCGGAUACUCUCACCGCCUUUUUUAAAUCGGGAAAACAACAACAUGCAACACUAGACAUGCUAGAAGAGCAGUUCUACAGAAUAGCGUUCAGUCUAUGAGGUCUAGUAUUUGGUGUCACAGGGUAGUCACAGCCCUUCAAACUGUAUAGGAAGGAUGAUGAAAAAGUGUGGCACUAAUCAGUUAUAGGCCAAAUACAGUCUGAAGGGGCAAAAGGGAAAAGAGGCAUUCACAGGUCACCCUUUGUGCAGGAUAAUCAUGAAAAGUUGUGCAAGAGUGUUCCCAAAAUCCAAGGUUUCCGAUAUGGAGGGAGUCUUAAUUGGCUUCCUAAAACAGGCCCCACACAAGCCAGGAGGACCAAAAUAUAAGAAACCUGUAAGAAAAGGACAGACGAUUGCGCAAGAAGAAUUGGAGUCCGAACAAAUAAAUCUGUUUAAAAGUACAUUGAUUCUACUGAUUUUAGUCCUGUCAAUACUGUUUUUGUUUUGUUGCAAAGUGAUUAAAGAUGUUUAUAAAACUCUA
Long non-coding RNA from Mytilus californianus (California mussel), 565 nucleotides. RefSeq lists it as uncharacterized. The record is from RefSeq and is a predicted model, not a curated record. NCBI's taxonomy places the organism in Eukaryota, Metazoa, Mollusca, Bivalvia, Mytilida, Mytilidae. The transcript has 4 exons.